CUUAGCUCAGCUGGAUAGAGCAACGGCCUUCUAAGCCGUAGGUCACAGGUUCGAAUCCUGUAG
This 63-nucleotide transfer RNA is filed under the name Pseudescherichia vulneris (CDC Enteric Group 1). It matches the Rfam family "tRNA", at positions 6 to 65 of the family's 71-position model. Rfam says of the family: Transfer RNA (tRNA) molecules are approximately 80 nucleotides in length. Their secondary structure includes four short double-helical elements and three loops (D, anti-codon, and T loops). Lineage: Bacteria; Pseudomonadati; Pseudomonadota; Gammaproteobacteria; Enterobacterales; Enterobacteriaceae. RNAcentral also lists the same sequence under 5 other names. The record is from RNAcentral.